CUCAGCUACCUCUAAGACGACCAGCCCUGUUAGGACACCUCCUACCACCAAGGCCUGGUUUGUUAAAGCACCAACUAGCCCUGCCUCAUUGAACACUAACCCCACCAACCCUGGCCCCGCUAUUUCCCUGAAAACUAUAGCCCCCACCAAAAUGGCUGCUAUCACUACUGCUCUUCCCUCUUCCCUACCGCCUGUCGGGGAGCAUUGUGUCAAGAAGCCCUUGUCCGGGUACCAACCUGAACAGGCUAAAUCAACCACACUGGCUAAAACCAGAACUAAACCAGAACGUCCGGCUGAUGUGAGCUCUGUUGAGGUCAUCAGGACGGUUGGACAGAGCAGCCUCAUGAUUGGCUGGGAGAGACCGCCCCUUGAUGAGCUGGGCUGCAGCAACGGAACGUUUGUGUAUGGAUACAGGGUCUAUGUAGAUGGGGAAUUCCACAAGUCUGUCAUGAGCUCUGCAUGCACCAAGUGUAUUCUGGAGAAUCUGGAUCUGUCCGGUCAGGUCCACAUCAGUGUCCAGACGCUGGGCUCCAAUGGCCUCUAUGCUGAGAAGGUCCACCUCAUCUACAAGGGAAACCAAGCCAAUUUUAGUACAGACCAGAACCCUUUCAUCAUUGACUAUAUCCAUGUCAAUACAGCUGCUGGUCACUGGACAGAUCCUCUUUCUCCAGACUGUAGGACUCCGCCCGCACAUCCACAUAGAAGCUUCACCCAACCAUUUGUAGCGAUCUACAACUACACCCCCCUUAGGGACAGCCCUAACCUCCGACCUGGCCGAGAGCUGGCCUUGACUGUGGGAGACACUGUCACGUUGCUAGGAAACCCCCGCAGCCAAGACUUCUGUGAGGCAGAGGUGAUUGACAGACAAGGAGUCCUGGAGGAAGUACCUGUUCCCUACCAACGUGUAAGCCCCGCCGCUCCCAAGUCUUCUCCCGAGAGAGGAGCAAAUGAAAGGCCACUGUGACUGCCAAUCAGACAGGUUAAGAUUAUAGCCGCUGUGACUGCCAAUCAGUGAGGACGACGUAACAGGCUACUAUGACUGCCAAUCAAAGUAUGCUUUCCUACAGAGAGCAAAAUGCUAUGACAUUCGCUAAUGCUAACCGCCCGUGACCUAACAUUCAUAAGUGUUCACCGCCCAAAGUCAUUUGAGUUGGAAGGCUAACCCUAAAUGCGGAAAGGGCAUAUAUGUGUGAGUAGGGCCAAGUUUGACACUCUGCUUAUUGUUUAGAUACUUCUAGCCUGCAUAACGCCCAUUGAGAUUGUCGAAUCACCACAGACUGUCCUUCAAAAUCCCCCCUGUUCUCAGUGUGACAGAACCAAGUCUAUCUACAAUCCUAACUGAAGUUGACUGUCUUUAUUACAUUUUGAUGUCCUUCUCUGAAAGCAUCUAAAAUGAAAUGGAGAAAACACGUUCUGUGUAGCACACUUUCCUUGUCCUUUCGCUGACUGUGAUGGUGC
Long non-coding RNA from Esox lucius (northern pike), 1458 nucleotides. The record is from Ensembl. Lineage: Eukaryota; Metazoa; Chordata; Actinopteri; Esociformes; Esocidae.